This 433-nucleotide ribosomal RNA is filed under the name uncultured bacterium. Its description in RNAcentral is "bacterial SSU rRNA". It matches the Rfam family "Bacterial small subunit ribosomal RNA", at positions 958 to 1392 of the family's 1533-position model. The record is from RNAcentral.
AACGCGAAGAACCUUACCUGGGCUCGAACGGCUUUGGAACAUCCUUGGAAACAGGGACUUCCCGCAAGGGACCGGAGUCGAGGUGCUGCAUGGCUGUCGUCAGCUCGUGUCGUGAGAUGUUGGGUUAAGUCCCGCAACGAGCGCAACCCUUGUCCUGUGUUGGCAUGCCGCAAGGCGCAACUCGCAGGAGACCGCCAGCGAUAAGAUGGAGGAAGGUGGGGAUGACGUCAAGUCAUCAUGGCCUUUAUGUCCAGGGCCACACACGUGCUACAAUGGGCGGUACAAAGCGCUGCCAACCCGCGAGGGGGAGCUAAUCGCCAAAAACCGUCCUCAGUUCGGAUAGCAGGCUGCAACUCGCCUGCGUGAACGCUGCAAUCGCUCCCAAAGGGCUAUCAGAAACAUAGCCCAACACGCCCCGGGUAUUUACACACCG